CACACACAUGCACGUGCACGUGCACACACAUCACAGGUUACCUCCUUCAACAUUGUGUACAGGCACACACACAUCCAUGCACUCACACACACGCACAUACACGUGCACGUGCACAUACACACAUCACAGGUUACGUCCUUCAACAUUGUGUACAGGCACAUACACACAUCCAUGCACUCACACACACAUGCACAUGCACGCGCACACACAUCACAGGUUAUCUCCUUCAACAUUGUGUACAGGCACACACACACAUCCAUGCACACACACACAUCCAUGCACUCACACGCACGCACGUGCGCGCGCGCACACACACAUCACAGGUUACCUCCUUCAACAUUGUGUACAGGCACACACACAUCCAUGCACUCACACACACAUGCACGCACGUGUGCACACACACACACCACAGGUUACCUCCUUCAACAUUGUGUACAGGUGCACACACACAUCCAUGCACUCACACACACACAUGCACAUACACGUGCACGCGCGUGCGCGCACACACACACACACAUCACAGGUUACCUCCUUCAACAUUGUGUAGAGCACAGGCCAGCAAGCUUUUCCUGCAAAGAGCCGGAGAGUGAACAUUUUAGGCUUUGUGGGCCAGACAAUCUCUGUUGCAAGGAUUCAGCUCUGCCAUAGACAAUACAUAAAUGCACAGAUGUGGCCACGCUCCAGUAAAAGCGUAUUCACAAAGUCAGACGGCGGGGCCAGGCGUGGGGGCUCACGCCUGUAAUUCCAGCACUCUGGAGGCCAAGGUGGGAGGAUCUCUUGAGCCCAGUAGUUCAAGACCAGCCUGGGCACACAUAACAAGACCUCAUCUCUACAAAAACAAAAUAUAAACUAGCCAAGCAUGGUGUGGUGACACGUGCUUGUAGUCCCAGCUACUUGGGAGCCUGAAGUGGGAAGAUCCCUUGAACCCAAGAGUUCAAGACAAGCCUGGGGCAACAUAGCAAGACCCCAUCUCUACAAAAGUAAAACAAAUUAGCCAGGCAUGGUGCGGUGGUGGGCGCCUGUAUUCCCAGCUACUUGAGAGGCUGAGGUGGGAGAAUCACUUGAGCCCAGAGGUGAAGGCUGCUGUAAGCCGUGACAGCACCACUGCACCCCAGCCUGAGUGACAGAAG
This 1130-nucleotide long non-coding RNA is filed under the name Homo sapiens (human). RNAcentral's name for it is "non-protein coding lnc-CCDC92-7:3". Lineage: Eukaryota; Metazoa; Chordata; Mammalia; Primates; Hominidae. The record is from RNAcentral.